UACAGAGGUCCCAAGCGUUGUUCGGAUUCAUUGGGCGUAAAGGGUGUGUAGGCGGCGCCGUAAGUCGGGUGUGAAAUCUCGGGGCUUAACUCCGAAACUGCAUUCGAUACUGCGGUGCUUGAGGACUGGAGAGGAGACUGGAAUUCAUGGUGUAGCAGUGAAAUGCGUAGAGAUCAUGAGGAAGACCAGUGGCGAAGGCGGGUCUCUGGACAGUUCCUGACACUGAGACACGAAGGCCAGGGGAGCAAACGGG
RNAcentral lists this ribosomal RNA (253 nucleotides) under uncultured bacterium. RNAcentral describes it as "partial 16S ribosomal RNA". It matches the Rfam family "Bacterial small subunit ribosomal RNA", at positions 524 to 776 of the family's 1533-position model. The record is from RNAcentral.